RNAcentral lists this microRNA precursor (141 nucleotides) under Triticum aestivum (bread wheat). Its description in RNAcentral is "pre miRNA MIR159". Lineage: Eukaryota; Viridiplantae; Streptophyta; Magnoliopsida; Poales; Poaceae. RNAcentral also lists the same sequence under 1 other name. The record is from RNAcentral.
GGUUUAGAGGUGGAGCUCCUUUCAUUCCAAUGAAGGGUCUAGAAAACGAGGAGAUAGGCUUGUGGUUUGCAUGACCGAGGAGCUGCAUUAAUCCCUCGCUGAGCGCUGUUUGGCUUGAAGAGAGCUCUGCAUCUUGAUCUA